This 1349-nucleotide long non-coding RNA is filed under the name Felis catus (domestic cat). RNAcentral describes it as "lncRNA (ENSFCAG00000042377.2)". Lineage: Eukaryota; Metazoa; Chordata; Mammalia; Carnivora; Felidae. The record is from RNAcentral.
CGGAGUCCCUCGAGAGAUGUCCCUGAUCUGCUAUUACUGGAAUUUGCAACUCUUGAAAAAAGCUGCCGGGGGCAUGACUCACCGAGUGGAUGUCCAAACCACUGCCUCCACAGCUCACCAUCCUGUCCCCCGAGUCUCCUCCCUCUUUCUGCAGCUGCAACCCGAGAGGCAUUGGUUCCCUCCAGGGAGGGGCCCCGGGACCUGGCGUCAGCAUCCUUGGUGGGCCAGCUGCCUCCACACACUGCAGGUAGCCAGAAUUUCCUGGAUUCCAGGGGGAAAGAAGUCUGUCUGGAAGAGAUCAGACGGUCUCAGCCUCCUCGUGGUCAGCUGUCCAAGUGAUGCUCCAUGAAUGCUCUUAACUUACUGACCAAUUAACAGCCACAGCUGGGCACUGAAUCUGUGCUUGAAACAUGAACAUGGUGAUGACUGCAGUAAUAGUAACAGCUUGUUGGAUAUGCAACCUCUGUUUCCUCCUUUCCAGAAGCUCGGUGAGUUGAUGUAAGGAAAGAGGAAUUUUCCUAUUGUUACGUAACUUCCCCUUUCUCUUUCCUCCUCUUUGGCUUGCUUCCCUGCCCCACAAACAUUAAUUACCUGUCCCUAAAGGAAUAUAUCAUUGAGUCUCAAGAGCACAUGCCCUCAGUAUGAAUGUUUAGUUGGAUUUUCAGGGAGAGCAAAGGCUGGGGUGGGGGUGGGGGGCUGAUGCUUUUGCCUUUGCUGACUCACCUUACAUUUAAAGCAUAAACUGGCCGGACAGAUGGCUCUUGCCCUCUGAUUUUGUGGAAAUGUUAUUUUACUCCUAGGCUCAUCGCUGAUGAUAGAGUAGUGGCAAAAAUGAAAGUUAGGACCACCCACCCUGGCUGUCGCCUGUUGCUGAUGGUGGCGGUGGUGGUGUGUGAAAAGGCUUCUAACACCUUCCAGCCCCAAACCAAAAACUCUUCCUGUCUUUCCAGUUUCUGUUGCUGGCCCCUGCAUCCUCCCAGAGCCUUAUUCUGAACACUAGAAGCCAACUUUGAUUCCUUCUACCCCUGAGUGCUUGCGACAUCCAGUAGACCUUACCUCCCCUGUCUCUUUCCCAGUGUCUCUGCUGUCAUAGCAAUUCUGAGCCACACCAUUCCCUAGUCUGCAACCCCCUACCCCCAUUCAUGCCACACAUCAUCAACAACUUAAGCUUUCUGAAACAACUCUCCAGUUUCAGAGUCUCCCAAUUUAUGCACAAAAAGACAUGUAGACUCAUCAGCUUGACUGUCCGUACCUUCCAAAAGAGGGCCCUAACCUACCUGGCCUAGCCUAUCCCCUAUACAGUGGCAAUUUCCUGCCAAUGAGUAUUUGCUCAGGCUGUCUCUAUGUCC